ACCUUUUAUAGCCAGCUGACUGUUUCAUCCGGAAGCCUUUCAUCAGCUGAACUUUUGCUCUCCGGCGUCUUGACUGGAUUUAGGAAUUGUCAAUAGAUCUUGGAUGCCCCUCAUUCUUCAUUUCAAGAAAUAGUCCUGUGUCAGGGAUGUCCUGAAGCGGAUGGGAACGACGUGCUCCUCCGAGGACUCGUCUUUGGUUUCUUCUGGUGUCUCGAUAUGCAGGAGUCCAUCUUCACCAAGUGAGCAGGUCAAUGAAGCUGGAUCCAGGUGAUCAGGAAGCUGCACGGCCUGAACAAACUCUUGAGCCUGGGACUCAGCAGAUGACGAAGAAGCGUUUUUCUCAGCCCUCUUUCCGGCCAUCACCUCCAGCCUUCGUCCAGACACCGUGACACUCACAUCCUCUGGAGAAAAGCCUCGGGUGUCCAGAGUAAGAGACACGUCCUGCUUCUUCUUCUGCUCUGGGUUCUGCAUUAUUUGGGCUCUACGGUGGAGAAAAUCCUCUCUGAAGCUGGAAAGAGGCAUGCCGCGUCUGGGCCACAAGAAGUAGGAGUUCUCAAAGAAAGGGUCGUCCAUGAAAGCUCUCUCAGAGGAAGACAUUUCUCUCUCUUGAGAUUUUGAGUGCUCUUAGUAGAGUGAUCUGCUUGCUUCAGGUCUCGCCUGUUUAUAUUUCUCCAACAGGGUCUAGAACCUCCCAUUGGUGAGGUCAUGAGUAGAAAUUUGAAGCCGUAAGUAAACAGAAUGUCUGCUUAGACUG
RNAcentral lists this long non-coding RNA (754 nucleotides) under Danio rerio (zebrafish). Its description in RNAcentral is "si:ch73-384n10.3 (ENSDARG00000101409.2)". The record is from RNAcentral. Lineage: Eukaryota; Metazoa; Chordata; Actinopteri; Cypriniformes; Danionidae.